GUCUGACAUCAAAAUUUACUUAUUACUUUAUAUACUACCAGAAGUCCAGUAAUGGACUGGACUUCUGAUACUACAUGUAUAUAUUAUAAUCAAUCAAAGUUGAAAUUUGUUUCUAAAUAAAAAAAAAGGAAAAUAUGAUAAUUUAAUUCAUCAUCAUCAAAGUAUUGGUGUUUGCCAGUGGCAAGUAUUUCAUACACGUGUAGCUUUAACCAUCGGUCUAUUUAUGUGCUCUUUAUAAUAAGAUCCGUGAAACAACGAC
This 259-nucleotide long non-coding RNA is filed under the name Mytilus galloprovincialis (Mediterranean mussel). The record is from RNAcentral. Lineage: Eukaryota; Metazoa; Mollusca; Bivalvia; Mytilida; Mytilidae.